GUCCACGCCGUAAACGAUGCGCACUAGAUACGAGUGACUCUGACGUUGUUCGUGUCGAAACAAAAGCGUUAAGUGCGCCGCCUGGGGAGUACGGCCGCAAGGCUAAAACUCAAAGGAAUUGACGGGGGCUCACACAAGCGGUGGAGCAUGUGGAUUAAUUCGAAGCAACGCGAAGAACCUUACCUAGGUUUGACAUGCACGGAUGCUCUUGGCGAAAGUCGAGUAGGCUGCCUUCGGGUGAAACGUGCACAGGUGCUGCAUGGCUGUCGU
RNAcentral lists this ribosomal RNA (270 nucleotides) under uncultured bacterium. RNAcentral describes it as "partial 16S ribosomal RNA". It matches the Rfam family "Bacterial small subunit ribosomal RNA", at positions 793 to 1055 of the family's 1533-position model. The record is from RNAcentral.